RNAcentral lists this ribosomal RNA (446 nucleotides) under uncultured bacterium. RNAcentral describes it as "partial 16S ribosomal RNA". It matches the Rfam family "Bacterial small subunit ribosomal RNA", at positions 330 to 792 of the family's 1533-position model. The record is from RNAcentral.
GCCAGACUCCUACGGGAGGCAGCAGUGGGGGAUAUUGCACAAUGGGGGGAACCCUGAUGCAGCGACGCCGCGUGGGUGAAGGAGCGUUUCGGCGCGUAAAGCCCUAUCGGCAGGGAAGAAGCAAGACGGUACCUGACUAAGAAGCCCCGGCUAACUACGUGCCAGCAGCCGCGGUAAUACGUAGGGGGCAAGCGUUAUCCGGAUUUACUGGGUGUAAAGGGGGCGCAGACGGCAGCGCAAGCCAGGAGUGAAAGCCCGGGGCCCAACCCCGGGACUGCUCUUGGAACUGCGCGGCUGGAGUGCAGGAGGGGCAGGCGGAAUUCCUGGUGUAGCGGUGAAAUGCGUAGAUAUCAGGAGGAACACCGGUGGCGAAGGCGGCCUGCUGGACUGCGACUGACGUUGAGGCCCGAAAGCGUGGGGAGCAAACAGGAUUAGAUACCCCAGUA